GGUAGCCCCUCGUGCGGCGUGUAUCCCGUGAACCUCCCCAGGGCCGGAAGGCAGCAAGGAUAAGCGGGCUCUGACGGGUGCACGAGGGGUCCUUCACUU
Molecule: signal recognition particle RNA, 99 nt
Filed under: Actinoplanes lutulentus
Lineage: Bacteria; Bacillati; Actinomycetota; Actinomycetes; Micromonosporales; Micromonosporaceae
Description: Bacterial small signal recognition particle RNA
Rfam family: Bacterial small signal recognition particle RNA
About the family: The signal recognition particle (SRP) is a universally conserved ribonucleoprotein involved in the co-translational targeting of proteins to membranes. Archaeal SRP consists of a 7S RNA and homologues of the eukaryotic SRP19 and SRP54 proteins. In most bacteria, the SRP consists of a 4.5S RNA and the Ffh protein (a homologue of the eukaryotic SRP54 protein).
Source: RNAcentral